RNAcentral lists this ribosomal RNA (460 nucleotides) under uncultured bacterium. RNAcentral's name for it is "partial 16S ribosomal RNA". It matches the Rfam family "Bacterial small subunit ribosomal RNA", at positions 338 to 795 of the family's 1533-position model. The record is from RNAcentral.
CCUACGGGUAGCAGCAGUGAGGAAUAUUGGUCAAUGGGCGCGAGCCUGAACCAGCCAAGUAGCGUGAAGGAUGACUGCCCUACGGGUUGUAAACUUCUUUUAUAAAGGAAUAAAGUGAGGCACGUGUGCCUUUUUGUAUGUACUUUAUGAAUAAUGAUCGGCUAACUCCGUGCCAGCAGCCGCGGUAAUACGGAUGAUCCGAGCGUUAUCCGGAUUUAUUGGGUUUAAAGUGAGCGUAGAUGGGUUGUUAAGUCAGUUGUGAAAGUCUGCGGCUCAACCGUAAAAUUGCAAUUGAUACUGGCAGCCUUGAGUACAGUUGAGGUAGGCGGAAUUCGUGGUGUAGCGGUGAAAUGCUGAGAUAUCACGAAGAACUCCGAUUGCGAAGGCAGCUUACUAAACUGCCACUGACAUUGAUGCUCGAAAGUGUGGGUAUCAAACAGGAUUAGAUACCCUAGUAGUC